Molecule: ribosomal RNA, 515 nt
Filed under: uncultured bacterium
Lineage: Bacteria
Description: partial 16S ribosomal RNA
Rfam family: Bacterial small subunit ribosomal RNA
Source: RNAcentral
GAUGAACGCUGGCGGCGUGCCUAAUACAUGCAAGUCGAGCGAAUGGAUUAAGAGCUUGCUCUUAUGAAGUUAGCGGCGGACGGGUGAGUAACACGUGGGUAACCUGCCCAUAAGACUGGGAUAACUCCGGGAAACCGGGGCUAAUACCGGAUAAUAUUUUGAACUGCAUGGUUCAAAAUUGAAAGGCGGCUUCGGCUGUCACUUAUGGAUGGACCCGCGUCGCAUUAGCUAGUUGGUGAGGUAACGGCUCACCAAGGCAACGAUGCGUAGCCGACCUGGGAGGGUGAUCGGCCACACUGGGACUGAGACACGGCCAAGACUCCUACGGGAGGCAGCAGUAGGGAAUCUUCCGCAAUGGACGAAAGUCUGACGGAGCAACGCCGCGUGAGUGAUGAAGGCUUUCGGGUCGUAAAACUCUGUUGUUAGGGAAGAACAAGUGCUAGUUGAAUAAGCUGACACCUUGACGGUACCUAACCAGAAAGCCACGGCUAACUACGUGCCAGCAGCCGCAGUAA